RNAcentral lists this unclassified non-coding RNA (419 nucleotides) under Hevea brasiliensis (rubber tree). The record is from RNAcentral. Lineage: Eukaryota; Viridiplantae; Streptophyta; Magnoliopsida; Malpighiales; Euphorbiaceae.
GGAGAGAACCCAUAAACAGUAACCCAUUCUUCCUCAUCAAGAUUCCCUGCUGGCAAGCAGUUCCUCUGCAUUUCCAGUCUUGCAACUUCCCUCGGAGGAGGGAGUGUGAUCAAAGCACCAGGUUGGACCACACCUUCAACUGGAGAACCCUUCCCCUUAUCUUCUUGCUCACUGCUACUAGCCUUGGUUGAUGACCACCAUGGUGAACUUGCUGAAACUUGUUGAUUGUGUUGACCACUCAUCAAAGCAAAUGAAGUGCUAGCCUCAGAUUUGCUUUUUGCUGGAGACAUGAAGUCCCUCCCAGAACUUUGGAUUGGAGUUCUUGGGUCCGAUUUUACUUCUGGGGAGGGAGGGUAAUCAGGAAUUCCAAACUUAGGAGAGAAAUCUGAACGGUCCUCCAAGGUAUACAUGGGAGGGGG